RNAcentral lists this long non-coding RNA (1925 nucleotides) under Homo sapiens (human). Its description in RNAcentral is "HSALNT0394810". Lineage: Eukaryota; Metazoa; Chordata; Mammalia; Primates; Hominidae. The record is from RNAcentral.
AGUGAGACCUUUGGGUGGUGAUGAUGUUGUGAGGGCAAAGCACUCAUGAAUGAGAUUAGUGACCUCAUAAAAGCAGCCCCAGAGAGCUGCCUUGCCUUUCCUGCCAGGUGAGUACACAGUGAGAAGAUGGCCAACUAUAAGCCAGGAAACAGGCCUCCAUCAACAAGGAAUCUGCCGGCAACUUGAUCUUGGACUUCCCAGCCUCCAGGAUUCUUUCACUGAACACAGUUGAGAAUUCAGAAUUUUUCAUUUUCUGCCCACAAUGGCAAAGAGAAGUGACAAAUGGAGACACAGCACAGUUACGUCAGAAGAUGAAUGCAAAGAGACAGAUGACAGCACUCUAGCAUCAGAUUCUGAUGAAAGGAGAAGAAGACAGAAGAAAGAAGAAGAAGAAACUGAUCAUACAGGCUGAAUGUCCCUAAUACAGAAAUCUGAAGUGCUCCCAAAUCUGAAACUUUUUGAGUGCCAAUAAGAUGCCAGAAGCAGGCAAUGGACAUUGUUAACACUGCAGAAGAAGUGCUUAUUGAUGACUGGUGAAAAUGGCUGAUGGGCUUACUGAAGGCCUAGAGUAGUGUGCAUUCUUAACAGAAGAAGGUAUCAAUCAUAUCAAUUUUUAAAAUCAAAGAGAGAUGUCUAAGAUCAAAACCAGUGUUAACGACGCAGAUGACUCUAGAGGAAACAUUUUUAGAAGCCAACCAGCAGAAAGCCUCCUCAUAACUAGAGGACCCACUUCCUGGUCCCUCAACUGCUUCUGAUGUUUCUUCUCUCCUAAAAAAGCUCAGUGUGCACUAACCUUUUAAUCAAAACACAACAUCAUCAGUGUACGGAUGGGUGAAUUUUUAAACAAAAACACAGCAUUAUAGGUGGAGACUAAAAACCUGCCAUUGUUCAUUGGGGCUGUUGUUUAACAGAUGGUACAGGAAGAAAAAUAUGUUGCAAACAUGGAGGAAAGAUGAUGGCCUCCUUCAACAGAACUAUGAGUUGUCCAAGAUUUCACAAAGUUCUUCAAGCAUGGCAUUUGAUGAUGAGCCCUAAGAUGACUUGAGCCUCACGUCAACUCUCUUUGCUACAUUUAGAAAGACUUGGAUUCAACAAGAGCCUCCAUUCUCCCCUUAUUGCAAUCACCAUGUGAAAAGAAGAGCACUUGGAGAAAAAGGCAUUUUACAUUUGCAGAAGCUCCGCUCAUGGGGUCGAAAUGCAUGCUGCCUCUACCACACUAUAACCGACGAGCUUUUAUUUAAAAGUGUCCCUAAACUAGAACUUUCCACAGCUGAAAACUAAUUGAACAUAUUUCUUUCAAAUCCGAACACACCAGUGAAAAAGGCCUUGCUCACGAAAACAAACACCUUAAGGGCCCAGAGCCAAAUGGGCAAGAUGAAAACGUUUUUGCAGGAAAUAUUCACAGGUUGAGUUGUUCACACAGGUCUGCAAGCAGGUGAAAGAGCAAGCCGCAAAAAGAGCUGCAAAACUGGAAAACAGCACAAGGGUGGCCCAAGGUAAGCAAGCACCAAGGCAACCAGGUAUUCUGUGCCAGCUGAGGACCACAGGUGUCUUGCUAAAGAAUUUAGAGAAGAAAAACUACAUGUGUUUAUAGCUUUAUAUUUAAGCUAUAAUAGACAGAGUCUACCUCUACCAGCACACUGCCAGUUUCAGAAGUCAGCGACGUCAGAAAAGGAGUGAAGGUUAGCCCUGAAAGAACAGAAAAGCAGCAAACUUUUCAGAAGUUAAAAUGGGGACACCCCAUACAAAUGGGUAGAAGUAUCCCAGUAUGGCCUGCACUACAAAGAGAAAAAUUAAAACACACCUUUUUCAAAACCUCAAAGAAAACUCCAAGCCUUAUUUGAAACACAGAAGGACAUCAGUACAACAUUACUAACAAAUCUCUAACAGUCAGCAAGAAAUGAAAUAAAAACUAAUUAAAUUCA